RNAcentral lists this ribosomal RNA (465 nucleotides) under uncultured Klebsiella sp. RNAcentral describes it as "bacterial SSU rRNA". It matches the Rfam family "Bacterial small subunit ribosomal RNA", at positions 338 to 795 of the family's 1533-position model. The record is from RNAcentral. Lineage: Bacteria; Pseudomonadati; Pseudomonadota; Gammaproteobacteria; Enterobacterales; Enterobacteriaceae.
CCUACGGGGGGCUGCAGUGGGGAAUAUUGCACAAUGGGCGCAAGCCUGAUGCAGCCAUGCCGCGUGUGUGAAGAAGGCCUUCGGGUUGUAAAGCACUUUCAGCGGGGAGGAAGGCGUUAAGGUUAAUAACCUUGUCGAUUGACGUUACCCGCAGAAGAAGCACCGGCUAACUCCGUGCCAGCAGCCGCGGUAAUACGGAGGGUGCAAGCGUUAAUCGGAAUUACUGGGCGUAAAGCGCACGCAGGCGGUCUGUCAAGUCGGAUGUGAAAUCCCCGGGCUCAACCUGGGAACUGCAUUCGAAACUGGCAGGCUAGAGUCUUGUAGAGGGGGGUAGAAUUCCAGGUGUAGCGGUGAAAUGCGUAGAGAUCUGGAGGAAUACCGGUGGCGAAGGCGGCCCCCUGGACAAAGACUGACGCUCAGGUGCGAAAGCGUGGGAAGCAAACAGGAUUAGAUACCCGUGUAGUC